Molecule: non-coding RNA, 23 nt
Filed under: Arabidopsis thaliana (thale cress)
Lineage: Eukaryota; Viridiplantae; Streptophyta; Magnoliopsida; Brassicales; Brassicaceae
Source: RNAcentral
UUGAUUCAGUUGAAUUAGAUCAA